Molecule: ribosomal RNA, 467 nt
Filed under: uncultured bacterium
Lineage: Bacteria
Description: bacterial SSU rRNA
Rfam family: Bacterial small subunit ribosomal RNA
Source: RNAcentral
GACCAGACUCCUACGGGAGGCAGCAGUGAGGAAUAUUGGUCAAUGGGCGAGAGCCUGAACCAGCCAAGUCGCGUGAGGGAGUACUGCCCUAUGGGUUGUAAACCUCUUUUGUCGGGGAGCAAAAGCCGGACGUGUCCGUCUGUGAGAGUACCCGAAGAAAAAGCAUCGGCUAACUCCGUGCCAGCAGCCGCGGUAAUACGGAGGAUGCGAGCGUUAUCCGGAUUUAUUGGUUUUAAAGGGUGCGCAGGCGGAAGAUCAAGACAGCGGUAAAAUGGAGAGGCUCACCCUCUCCGAGCCGUUGAUACUGGUUUUCUUGAGUGAGCGAGAAGUAUGCGGAAUGCGUGGUGUAGCGGUGAAAUGCAUAGAUAUCACGCAGAACUCCGAUUGCGAAGGCAGCAUACCGGCGCUCAACUGACGCCCAUGCACGAAAGUGUGGGUAUCGAACAGGAUUAGAUACCCGGGUAGGC